GAUAGAGGCGCAGGCUUCAUCAGUAUUUUUCAGACAUAAGCACCGGAAUGGCUGUCUGAGGAAGAAAGGGGAGGCUGCCGAAGAGAAAAGGAGGGUUUCCGGCCCCUUUUCUCUGGGACGUAUGCAGAAGAUGCUGCGGACUGUCACUUUUUGUGGAGCGCUAUCAG
Molecule: non-coding RNA, 167 nt
Filed under: uncultured Merdimonas sp.
Lineage: Bacteria; Bacillati; Bacillota; Clostridia; Lachnospirales; Lachnospiraceae
Description: Lysine riboswitch
Rfam family: Lysine riboswitch aptamer
About the family: Riboswitches are metabolite binding domains within certain messenger RNAs that serve as precision sensors for their corresponding targets.
Source: RNAcentral